GAUCUGAACGGUAAUCAGCGGCGAGUGAGCGAGCAAAAGCUCAAUUUGAAUCUGGCACUUUCAGUGUCCGAGUUGUAAUUUGAAGAAGGUAUCUUUGGGUCUGGCUCUUGUCUAUGUUUCUUGGAACAGAACGUCACAGAGGGUGAGAAUCCCGUGCGAUGAGAUGUCCCAGACCUAUGUAAAGUUCCUUCGAAGAGUCGAGUUGUUUGGGAAUGCAGCUCUAAGUGGGUGGUAAAUUCCAUCUAAAGCUAAAUAUUGGCGAGAGACCGAUAGCGAACAAGUACAGUGAUGGAAAGAUGAAAAGAACUUUGAAAAGAGAGUGAAAAAGUACGUGAAAUUGUUGAAAGGGAAGGGCUUGAGAUCAGACUUGGUAUUUUGUAUGUUACUCUCUCGGGGGUGGCCUCUACAGUUUACCGGGCCAGCAUCAGUUUGAGCGGUAGGAUAAGUGCAAGAAUGUGGCACUGCUUCGGUAGUGUGUUAUAGUCUUUGUCGAUACUGCCAGCUUAGACUGAGACUGCGGCUUCAGCCUACGAUGUUGGCAUAAUGAUCUUAGUCGCCGUCUAACCACGAGACGCA
This 576-nucleotide ribosomal RNA is filed under the name [Candida] sp. AA-Y5. Its description in RNAcentral is "eukaryotic LSU rRNA". It matches the Rfam family "Eukaryotic large subunit ribosomal RNA", at positions 56 to 664 of the family's 3401-position model. The record is from RNAcentral. Lineage: Eukaryota; Fungi; Ascomycota; Saccharomycetes; Saccharomycetales.